GACGAACGCUGGCGGCGUGCUUAACACAUGCAAGUCGAGCGGUAAGGCCCUUUCGGGGGUACACGAGCGGCGAACGGGUGAGUAACACGUGGGUGACCUGCCCUUAGCUCUGGGAUAAGCCUGGGAAACUGGGUCUAAUACCGGAUAUGACUCCAUGACGCAUGUUGUGGGGUGGAAAGCCUUGUGCGGCUAGGGAUGGGCCCGCGGCCUAUCAGCUUGUUGGUGGGGUGAUGGCCUACCAAGGCGACGACGGGUAGCCGGCCUGAGAGGGCGACCGGCCACACUGGGACUGAGACACGGCCCAGACUCCUACGGGAGGGCAGCAGUGGGGAAGUCUUGCGCAAUGGGCGGAAAGCCUGACGCAGCGACGCCGCGUGAGGGAUGACGGCC
Molecule: ribosomal RNA, 390 nt
Filed under: uncultured bacterium
Lineage: Bacteria
Description: bacterial SSU rRNA
Rfam family: Bacterial small subunit ribosomal RNA
Source: RNAcentral